Small nuclear RNA from Neltuma alba, 203 nucleotides. RefSeq annotates it as U2 spliceosomal RNA. The transcript has a single exon. NCBI's taxonomy places the organism in Eukaryota, Viridiplantae, Streptophyta, Magnoliopsida, Fabales, Fabaceae. The record is from RefSeq and is a predicted model, not a curated record.
AUACCUUUCUCGGCCUUUUGGCUAAGAUCAAGUGUAGUAUCUGUUCUUAUCAGUUUAAUAUCUGAUAUCUGAUACGUGGGCCACAGGCCCACAUGAUAUUAAAUUUAUUUUUCUAGGGGGAGGGUCCACCCAAGUAGCUUGCUAUUGGGACUCUCAAGCUUCGGCCAUGCGGUGCACUGCCGCACAGGCCUGGCGCGCCCCAC